RNAcentral lists this ribosomal RNA (492 nucleotides) under uncultured bacterium. Its description in RNAcentral is "partial 16S ribosomal RNA". It matches the Rfam family "Bacterial small subunit ribosomal RNA", at positions 29 to 507 of the family's 1533-position model. The record is from RNAcentral.
AGUGAGCGCUGGCGGUAGGCCUAACACAUGCAAGUCGAACGGCAGCACAGUAAGAGCUUGCUCUUACGGGUGGCGAGUGGCGGACGGGUGAGGAAUACAUCGGAAUCUACUUUUUCGUGGGGGAUAACGUAGGGAAACUUACGCUAAUACCGCAUACGACCUACGGGUGAAAGCAGGGGAUCUUCGGACCUUGCGCGAUUGAAUGAGCCGAUGUCGGAUUAGCUAGUUGGCGGGGUAAAGGCCCACCAAGGCGACGAUCCGUAGCUGGUCUGAGAGGAUGAUCAGCCACACUGGAACUGAGACACGGUCCAGACUCCUACGGGAGGCAGCAGUGGGGAAUAUUGGACAAUGGGCGCAAGCCUGAUCCAGCCAUACCGCGUGGGUGAAGAAGGCCUUCGGGUUGUAAAGCCCUUUUGUUGGGAAAGAAAAGCAGCAGGUUAAUACCCCGCUGUUCUGACGGUACCCAAGGAAUAAGCACCGGCUAACUUCGUG